This 811-nucleotide long non-coding RNA is filed under the name Salvator merianae (Argentine black and white tegu). Its description in RNAcentral is "lncRNA (ENSSMRG00000016277.1)". The record is from RNAcentral. Lineage: Eukaryota; Metazoa; Chordata; Lepidosauria; Squamata; Teiidae.
GUGGUUGUGUGUACUUUUCCGCAGUCACAAAAUGUAAUAGUGAUUUAUCUAAAGUUCCUUAGGAUCGUGCUAUACCCGUUUGCAACCAAUGAUUUCCAAACUUCCCUGCUGGCAUUAGAGGCUGCUGCCAAGCCCUCAGAUGCAUCCACCCAAUGGGAGUCUUUCAUGCUCUCCCCAGCCUCGCAGAUCGAAACUAGAUCUAGUUUAGUCUAAGUGUAGCUCCAGCGAUUACUNAUCUCUCCUGGUUUUAACUGAUAAUAUGAGACAGCAGUCUAAACAUGAAGCCAGCCAGGCUACCCGGGAGUCGCAGCCGCCAGCAUACUUCUGCCCUAGCAAUGCAUCAGCGCCUGGAACCCAAAGCAGGGCGGAGACAGCAGAUGAACGCUGCUGCCUGCAGCAGAGCUUUGUUAGCAUGCAGGGUAUUUGGUUGGUAUUGGCGUCUUUUUUUCCCCCUCUCUCCUCCUCCCUCUGCCCCGGAACAGCCUGCCCCGCUCACAGGGAGAGAGCCUGUCUGUGUGCCGCCGCCCCACUCAGAGCCCGCCCCUUUUUUCUUCGCCCUGGCCUUCCGUGUGGAACAAGCCGGGCACGUGCGCUGCGACGCUGGCUUUCCUGCCUGCCUGCCAGGGGCGAGGCUGCUGCUACCUUUCUCGGCCACAGCCGCUUGCCUGCUCCGUUUCUCUCGGCGAGCGCGGGACAUAUAGUUAAAUUGCAGAACGUCCCUGUUGCGGAUCCAGAGGACCAGAUGUGGAUACCUGUUCUAGCAAAACAGUAGGACUUGGGAAGCUUCACUUUUGCAAAGAAUUCUGUGCCA